GAAACUCAAAGGAAUUGACGGGGACCCGCACAAGUAGCGGAGCAUGUGGUUUAAUUCGAAGCAACGCGAAGACCCUUACCUAAGCUUGACAUCCCAAUGACAUCUCCUUAAUCGGAGAGUUCCCUUCAGGGACAUUGGUGACAGGUGGUGCAUGGUUGUCGUCAGCUCGUGUCGUGAGAUGUUGGGUUAAGUCCCGCAAC
Molecule: ribosomal RNA, 200 nt
Filed under: Clostridioides difficile
Lineage: Bacteria; Bacillati; Bacillota; Clostridia; Peptostreptococcales; Peptostreptococcaceae
Description: partial 16S ribosomal RNA
Rfam family: Bacterial small subunit ribosomal RNA
Source: RNAcentral